This 877-nucleotide ribosomal RNA is filed under the name uncultured Nitrososphaerota archaeon. Its description in RNAcentral is "bacterial SSU rRNA". It matches the Rfam family "Archaeal small subunit ribosomal RNA", at positions 21 to 903 of the family's 1478-position model. Lineage: Archaea; Thermoproteati; Nitrososphaerota. The record is from RNAcentral.
ACCUGACUGCUAUCGGAUUGAUACUAAGCCAUGCGAGUCAUUGUAGCAAUACAAGGCAGACGGCUCAGUAACACGUAGUCAAUCUAACCUAUGGACGGGGAUAACCUCGGGAAACUGAGAAUAAUACCCGAUAGGCCACCAUGCCUGGAAUGGUUUGUGGCCCAAAUGAUUUAUCGCCGUAGGAUGGGACUGCGGUCUAUCAGCUUGUUGGUGAGGUAAUGGCCCACCAAGGCUAUAACAGAUACGGGCUCUGAGAGGAGAGGCCCGGAGAUGGGUACUGAGACACGGACCCAGGCCCUAUGGGGCGCAGCAGGCGAGAAAACUUUGCAAUGUGCGAAAGCACGACAAGGUUAAUCCGAGUGUUUUCUGCUAAAGAAAUCUUUUACCGGUCUUAAAACCACCGGCGAAUAAGGGGUGGGCAAGUUCUGGUGUCAGCCGCCGCGGUAAAACCAGCACCUCAAGUGGUCAGGAGGAUUAUUGGGCCUAAAGCAUCCGUAGCCUGCCGUGUAAGUUUUCGGUUAAAUCUAUGCGCUCAACGCAUAGGCUGCCGGAAAUACUGCACGGCUAGGGAGUGGGAGAGGUAGACGGUACUCAGUAGGAAGGGGUAAAAUCCUUUGAUCUAUUGAUGACCCCCUGUGGCGAAGGCGGUCUACUAGAACACGUCCGACGGUGAGGGAUGAAAGCUGGGGGAGCAAACCGGAUUAGAUACCCGGGUAGUCCCAGCUGUAAACAAUGCAAACUCAGUGAUGCAUUGGCGUAAGAGCCAGUGCAGUGCCGCAGGGAAGCCGUUAAGUUUGCCGCCUGGGAAGUACGUACGCAAGUAUGAAACUUAAAGGAAUUGGCGGGGGAGCACCACAAGGGGUGAAGCCUGCGGUUC